RNAcentral lists this transfer RNA (73 nucleotides) under Brotonthovivens ammoniilytica. Its description in RNAcentral is "tRNA-Thr". It matches the Rfam family "tRNA". From Rfam's summary of the family: Transfer RNA (tRNA) molecules are approximately 80 nucleotides in length. The record is from RNAcentral. RNAcentral also lists the same sequence under 1 other name. Lineage: Bacteria; Bacillati; Bacillota; Clostridia; Lachnospirales; Lachnospiraceae.
GCUUCGAUAGCUCAGCUGGUAGAGCACUUCACUCGUAAUGAAGGGGUCGUGGGUUCGAGUCCCAUUCGAAGCU